CCAGGCAGUGCUGUGUUCUCAAGCAGGUGGGAGAGGGCUCUGGUGGUUUUUUUGCCAUAGAGCUUACACACUGUUUCCUUUUCAGGAAGAUGAGACUAAGCCAGAAGACUGUAUACCAGAUGUCCCAGGCAAUGAACAUGCCAGGGAGUUUCUGGCCCACGCACCAACCAAAGGACUUUGGAUGCCACUGGGGAAUGAAGUCAAAGUCAUGCAGUGUUGGCGCUGUAAACGGUAUGGCCACCGAACGGGCGACAAAGAAUGCCCUUUCUUUAUCAAAGGCAACCAAAAGUUAGAACAGUUCAGAGUAGCACAUGAAGAUCCCAUGUAUGACAUCAUUCGUGAGAAUAAAAGACAUGAAAAGGAUAUAAGGAUACAACAGUUAAAACAGUUAGUGGAGGAUUCAACAUCAGAUGAUGAUGGGAGCAGCUCCAGUUCCUCAGAAGAUAAAGAGAAACACAAGAAAAAGAAGAAGAAAGAAAAGCAUAAGAAGAAGAAGAAAGAAAAGAAGAAGAAGAAGAAGAAAGAAAAGAAGAAGAAGAAGAAGAAAGAAAAGAAGAAGAAGAAAAAACGAAAGCAUAAGUCUUCCAAGUCAAAUGAGAGUUCGGACUCAGAAUGACGGGAGCCUGGCUUGUUCAACAUUCUCUUCUCUAAAACCAAACACUGUGGCCAAAGAUGAGAGGACCCGUGGAGGAAGAUGGAGUCGGAGAGGAACAGGAGAGAGAGAGACGCCCAAAGGGAAGACGUGUGGUGUCCCAGGUGCAGGUUCUCACCUGCUUCCAGGGAGGAUGUGAGUUGUGUGUUGCCAGGUGCUAGCUCUGGACACGCCUGACUUCAGGCUGGACAGCUUUUCCCCUUGUGCUCCUCUCUGCUGAUCCCCGUGGGUCCCAACUCCUUAGAAGCGCCUCGGGCAGGGCGGCCAGAUGAAGGGAGGCUCUGGGGAGCUUCUCCAGGUGCGGCCGCAGGUUCCACCUCCAGGGGGGAGCUACUUGUGCCCACAGAGCUCAGGCUUGACUUCCCUCUGCUGCUGAGGAUAAUAAAAGCUCACUAU
Molecule: non-coding RNA, 1048 nt
Organism: Odocoileus virginianus texanus
Lineage: Eukaryota; Metazoa; Chordata; Mammalia; Artiodactyla; Cervidae
Source: RefSeq, a predicted model, not a curated record